CCUGUCUUUCAUGAAACCUGUCCCUGGUGCCAAAAAGGUUGGGGACUGCUGGCUUACAGGACUUCUCAACCUCCUUUGCAGCAAACCUGGACCCAUAGAAUGAAGACCAGAUUGUUAUUAUAAGGAACUUGGAGACAGAGCCUGGUGCAUAAUGCUGGAGUGCAAUGGUGUGAUCUCGGCUCACUGUAACCUCUGCCACCUGGGUUCAAGUGAUUCUCCUGCCUCAGCCUCUCAAGUAGCUGGGAUUACAGGUGCACACCACCAUGCACGGCAUGGGGCCCUUACCAGACUCCACCAGAUGUGGCUACCCAAUCUUGAAUAUCCCAGACUUCAGAACUGUGAGCUAAACAAACUUUUUUCUUUAUAAAUUAUUCAGUCUCAGGUAUUCUGUUAUAGCAAUACAAAAUGAACGAGGGUGGCCAAUUUAAGAAAAUAGCAUCUAGAUUAAGCAGCAAAAUGAGGGCAUAUUAUGACAAAUGAUGAGAGAUCCCAACAUGCCCAAAUUUAAAUGGCUUGGAUUCAACUCUAUCUCCUUGGGGAAAAAGGAAAGGGAAAAGAAUAAUUUAAAUGGGGUGAGUGAUUCUGUUUGCCAUUAUACCUAAUGAAUGAGCCUGAGAUGAAAGCUAUGAACCCAGAAUAUCUCCUAGCAUGGUCUCAGUCUUAUGUGUGUCUCACAUGGAGUAUCUGUGUGUAACAUGGGUGAUUCGAAUGUUAAAUACGACAAUUUUCAAACAACAUGGCCACUCAAAGCAAACUAACAAUUUCAUCUAAUGGUCAAUGAAAGAACAAGGGAAAAUGGGAUUACAUGUCUUCCUAAUGGAUUUUUUUGUAAGGAUAAUUUUGACUCUAUGAUUUUUGUCUUAAGU
Molecule: non-coding RNA, 866 nt
Organism: Callithrix jacchus (white-tufted-ear marmoset)
Lineage: Eukaryota; Metazoa; Chordata; Mammalia; Primates; Cebidae
Source: RefSeq, a predicted model, not a curated record